This 863-nucleotide long non-coding RNA is filed under the name Ananas comosus (pineapple). RNAcentral describes it as "long non-coding RNA (ACOM_LNC039015)". The record is from RNAcentral. Lineage: Eukaryota; Viridiplantae; Streptophyta; Magnoliopsida; Poales; Bromeliaceae.
UAGGGCGCAACUGAAUAGUCUAAUGUUGUUCCGGUUUUGGUUCUUGUGAACGUUGACAUCGAUUCGUUCGAAAUUACAACUCUCGGGGCAUAAUUGAACAAUAUUAUUAGGUUUUACUCUUUGUUCAAUAGAAUGAGAAAAAGUACUCGUCGCAAAGUUAUACUACUAGGGCACAACUGAGUAGUCUAAUGUUGUUCUGGUUUUGGUUCUUGUGAAUGUUGACAUCGAUUCGUUCCAAAUUUACACUCUCGGGGCAUAGUAGAACAAUAUAAUUAGCUUUUAUACUUUAAUCGAUUGAAUGAGAAAAAGUACUAGUUGCAAAGUUAUACUGUUGGGGCGCAACAUAGUAGUCUAUUAUUGUUCCGAUUUUGGUUCUUGUUAAGGUUGACUUCAAUUCGUUCCAAAUUACACUCUCGUGACAUAAUAGAACAAUAUAAUUAGGUUUUACUCUUUGUUCGAUAGAAUGAGAAAAAGUACUCGCUGCAAAGUUAUACUAUUAGGGCGCAACUGAAUAGUCUAAUGUUGUUCCGGUUUUGGCUCUUGUGAACGUUGACAUCGAUUCGUUCGAAAUUACAACUCUCGGGGCAAAAUUUAACAAUAUAAUUAGGUUUUACUCUUUGUUCAAUAGAAUGAGAAAAAGGACUCGUCGCAAAGUUAUACUAUUAGGGCGCAACUGAGUAGUCUAAUGUUGUCCCGGUUUUGGUUCUUGUGAACGUUGACAUCGAUUCGUUCCAAAUUUACACUCUCGGGGCAUAAUAGAACAAUAUAAUUAGCUUUUAUACUUUGUUCGAUUGAAUGAGAAAAAGUACUAGUUGCAAAGUUAUACUGUUGGGGCGCAACAGAGUAGUCUAUUGUUGUUCCGG